Molecule: long non-coding RNA, 1071 nt
Organism: Anser cygnoides (Swan goose)
Lineage: Eukaryota; Metazoa; Chordata; Aves; Anseriformes; Anatidae
Source: Ensembl
AUGCUUUGCCAGGUCCCAGUGGGAGCACUUUUAUUAAAAAAAAUAUUGAUUUUUACCCAAAGCUGGGGAGAAAACACCUUGUGUGUCACACUGAGCGCUCAGCCUGGCCGGGACAGGCUUUGCAGCCCUCUGAGCCCCUUUUAUUCACGGCCCCCUUUUGCCCUUUGCACCAUGAAUUCCAUCCAGGCUCUGAUUUCAGAUGAGGCUUUGGGUGCGUCACCGCUCUCUGCACCCUCCUCCACCAGCUCUUUGCCCAAGGCCGGGUUUGGGGGCACGGACCUUGGCAGGAGCCGUGGCAGCCACCACACAGGGAUGCGUGGCAAGAUGCGGGAUGCGCAGCAGGAUGAGGGAUGCGCGGCAGGAUGCGGGAGUGAGCGCGGGGGGCGCGCUGCCUCCCUCCCGUCGCCAGGGCAACCGGCCUCCAUCGCCUCCCACCCGUGGGGGACCCCCACAGCCCCCACUCGAUGCAGGGGGCACGAGGCCCUCCCUGCCGCGGUGCUGGACUGCAGCAUCCCCGCCUCCGCAGCGGGCUGGGGACAGCGGCGGGCGGGAGCGCACUUCCCUCGGCCACGGCCGGAGCAAGAGGAACGCCGCGAACCUGAAAGAGAAGGGAGAAGGGUUCGGAUCCUGCCGGUCAUCUGAUCCAGGUCAAGCAGGACUUUACCUCGCCAGCAGCCCCUGGAGCUCCUCACCAGUGCGGCUUGCAGCGCCCGCCGCUGCCCCUCAGCAGCGGGCUGGGGGGGUCUUUCAAUCCCUGGAGGAUUGAGAGGUAAAAUAUCUCCAGAUUGCUUUCACGUUCUGCUUGCUUCCCCCGGCGGGGUUUAAUGAAACCAUUAGGAUCUGUACAGGUUCCUUAAGGUGGAGGGUGGCCCAGGGUGCAACACUGCUGCCCUGAGGAGCACGCAGGGAGGGGACAGACAGGCUGGGGGGGCACGGGGGCCCUCGGCCACGAUCUGAGGGGUUGGCAGGGGAGUGAGCCCCGCGUCCACCACACGCCGCAGCUCCCAUCUCCUUCUCUCUGCCCUGCACCCUGCCUGCAGGCUGGCACCCGUCCCGCCGGUGUCCCCCCCC